Molecule: ribosomal RNA, 910 nt
Filed under: uncultured bacterium
Lineage: Bacteria
Description: bacterial SSU rRNA
Rfam family: Bacterial small subunit ribosomal RNA
Source: RNAcentral
ACGCUAGCGAUAGGCUUAACACAUGCAAGUCGAGGGGCAGCAUGGUCUUAGCUUGCUAAGACUGAUGGCGACCGGCGCACGGGUGCGUAACGCGUAUGCAACUUGCCUCACAGAGGGGGAUAACCCGUCGAAAGACGGACUAAUACCGCGUACACUCUAUGUUGGGCAUCCAAUGUAGAGGAAAUGAACUUCGCUGUGAGAUAGGCAUGCGUCCCAUUAGCUAGUUGGUGAGGUAACGGCUCACCAAGGCGACGAUGGGUAGGGGAACUGAGAGGUUGAACCCCCACACUGGUACUGAGACACGGACCAGACUCCUACGGGAGGCAGCAGUGAGGAAUAUUGGUCAAUGGGCGAGAGCCUGAACCAGCCAAGUCGCGUGAAGGAUGACUGUCUUAUGGAUUGUAAACUUCUUUUAUACGGGAAUAACAAGAGUCACGUGUGGCUCCCUGCAUGUACCGUAUGAAUAAGCAUCGGCUAACUCCGUGCCAGCAGCCGCGGUAAUACGGAGGAUGCGAGCGUUAUCCGGAUUUAUUGGGUUUAAAGGGUGCGUAGGCGGCCUGUUAAGUCAGCGGUGAAAUCUAGGAGCUUAACUCCUAAAUUGCCAUUGAUACUGGCGGGCUUGAGUGUAGAUGAGGUAGGCGGAAUGCGUGGUGUAGCGGUGGAAUGCAUAGAUAUCACGCGGAACUCCGAUUGCGAAGGCAGCUUACUAAGGUACAACUGACGCUGAAGCACGAAAGCGUGGGUAUCAAACAGGAUUAGAUACCCUGGUAGUCCACGCAGUAAACGAUGAUAACUGGGCGUAUGCGAUAUACAGUAUGCUCCUAAGCGAAAGCGUUAAGUUAUCCACCUGGGGAGUACUCCGGCAACGGUGAAACUCAAAGGAAUUGACGGGGGCCCGCACAAGCGGAGG